UAACGCGUGGAUAACCUGCCUCACACAGGGGGAUAACAGUUAGAAAUGACUGCUAAUACCGCAUAAGCGCACGGCAUCGCAUGAUGCAGUGUGAAAAACUCCGGUGGUGUGAGAUGGAUCCGCGUCUGAUUAGGUAGUUGGUGGGGUAACGGCCCACCAAGCCGACGAUCAGUAGCCGACCUGAGAGGGUGACCGGCCACAUUGGGAUUGAGACACGGCCCAA
This 223-nucleotide ribosomal RNA is filed under the name uncultured bacterium. Its description in RNAcentral is "partial 16S ribosomal RNA". It matches the Rfam family "Bacterial small subunit ribosomal RNA", at positions 111 to 334 of the family's 1533-position model. The record is from RNAcentral.